This is a non-coding RNA of Equus caballus (horse), 1469 nucleotides long. NCBI's taxonomy places the organism in Eukaryota, Metazoa, Chordata, Mammalia, Perissodactyla, Equidae. The record is from RefSeq and is a predicted model, not a curated record.
AGGCUGUGGCCAUGUGCCUUUCCUUCCUGCUUCAUGUAACUAAGAAAGGGUUGGAGGCCCAAGGAUUGGCAAAUAGGAGUUCAUUGCGACUUCAGGCCUCAGCCAGGAUAUGUAGAGAGUUUGGAAGUCGUCACUACUGUUCUCAUGACAAGGAAAAUACUACAAAUUAAAAAUCGAUCAUGACUUUUCUUGGACCUACCAGGAACUUAAGUUGCAGGGUAAACUGGAUCCUGAAAUCUGGAGAGAUGAAGGCAUCCAGAGAGACGCAGCCAAGAUCUGCUGAACCAGCCAAGAACAGAAGCUGCUGGAACCGUAAACUGACACUGAGUGAAGCACUGAAAAAAGGGCAGGAAUGAAGCUCCUCCAGUAGGGUGUGGAGGCUCCCAGGAGGGCCCCCCAGUCUUCUGCUGAGCCUGUCACCUCCUGCAUUGGGUUCCCCUGAUGCUCUGGCCCCAGCGCACAGAUCCCUGAUCUGGGCUCACUCCCUCAUUCAGAACGAGGACACUGAGGUCAGAGGCAAAACCAUUCAUGUGGCCUCUUAUGACGCUGCUGGAUUCUGGAGACAGACAUCUUUGCAUGCUGCUAAUCACGACCCUGUUAUUAGGAAGUCAAAAGGGGUAGGAUGUAGAUAGGGGAAGAGCAAAGAUGCUUGUUUUCCUAUCUGAUGUCCUCCCUCCUGUCUAGCAAGAGAUCCAGAAAAAACAAAAUCUCCAGAGAUUCUGCAAGUCACACGAGUCUUGGCUUGCUUUUUUUCAAAUUAGCUCUAAGAUCUUAAAUGACCCCAGCUACUGAGAUCAGUAUUCUGGCAGCAAUAACAAAUAAGCGUUGAGGUGGCAGUCAGUCCCCACACCCAGCCACGUGUACAUGUUUAUUUUAUAUUCUAUCCUUGUAUAUUUAAAUAUGUCAGGUUUUUAUCUAACUUGUCUGAACUCCCAUGUAAAAAUGUGUGAAAGUAGGUCUCUCGCAUCUAAAGGUAUUUAAUACGUGGUUUCUGGGUUAGAAAUAUAAAUUUAAGAAAAUUUUGAAGUCUAAACUGGAGAAGCGAAAGUCAUAACUAUCAUGUCUCCGGAUGAAGUCUUUUGUAGAUUUCUUCCGUUGAGCGACAGGAUGAGUGUUCUACAAUCAGAUCAAUGAAAGCUGGUGGCUUCUUCGGGAUUUUACUGAGGACAAAGGAGGAGGUUCUGCACAUGAUUAACUUUGUCUGAUUGAAUUGAGAGUUUCUGAAUGAUUAAGAAACUAGAGUUUGACUAAGUCAGAAACCAUGCGGUCUAUAACAGAAAACUUCUAAAGAAAAACAACAUAAAUUUCCAGUAGAAGCAAGCAGAUGAUUUCUGUAACUUCAUAACCAGGACAAGAACUCCGUUCACUUCCUGUUCUGGAUAAAGUCCCUGAACUGAGGCCACUCCAGCACAAGGGGGUGAAACAUCUUUUCAGUGACUUCUCGGAAAAAGAAAAAUUCUCUCUUGAAA